GACGAACGCUGGCGGCGUGCUUAACACAUGCAAGUCGAACGGAAAGGCCCUGCUUUUGUGGGGUGCUCGAGUGGCGAACGGGUGAGUAACACGUGAGUAACCUGCCCUUGACUUUGGGAUAACUUCAGGAAACUGGGGCUAAUACCGGAUAGGAGCUCCUGCUGCAUGUUGGGGGUUGGAAAGUUUCGGCGGUUGGGGAUGUACUCGCGGCUUAUCCGCUUGUUGGUGGGGUAGUGGCUUACCAAGGCUUUGACGGGUAGCCGGCCUGAGAGGGUGACCGGCCACAUUGGGACUGAGAUACGGCGCAGACUCCUACGGGAGGCAGCAGUGGGGAAUAUUGCAGAAUGGGCGGAAGCCUGAUGCAGCAACGCCGCGUGCGGGAUGACGGCCUUCGGGUUGUAAACCGCUUUCGCCUGUGACGAAGCGUGAGUGACGGUAAUGGGUAAAGAAGCACCGGCUAACUACGUG
This 468-nucleotide ribosomal RNA is filed under the name uncultured bacterium. Its description in RNAcentral is "partial 16S ribosomal RNA". It matches the Rfam family "Bacterial small subunit ribosomal RNA", at positions 28 to 507 of the family's 1533-position model. The record is from RNAcentral.